GACGAACGCUGGCGGCGUGCUUAACACAUGCAAGUCGAACGAAGUGGCGAACGGGUGAGUAAUACGUGGGUAACCUGCCCUCCUUUUUGGGAUAAGCCUUCGAAACGGGGUCUAAUACCGAAUAAAGGGGGAUGUGCUCGCGGCCUAUCAGGUUGUUGUUGGGGUGAUGGCCUACCAAGGCGGUGACGGGUAGCCGGCCUGAGAGGGUGACCGGUCACAUGGUGACUCGGAUCCGGCCCAGACUCCUACGGGAGGGAGCAGUGGGGGAAAUUGGACAAUGGGCGAAAGCCUGAUGCAGCGACGUCGCGUGGGGGAUGCAGGCUUUCGGGUUGUAAACCUCUGUCGCUAUCGAACCGGUAGGUGGAGAAGAAGCGCCGGCUAACUACGUGCCAGCAGCCGCGGUAAUAC
RNAcentral lists this ribosomal RNA (408 nucleotides) under uncultured bacterium. RNAcentral's name for it is "partial 16S ribosomal RNA". It matches the Rfam family "Bacterial small subunit ribosomal RNA", at positions 28 to 526 of the family's 1533-position model. The record is from RNAcentral.